This is a long non-coding RNA of Myotis davidii, 292 nucleotides long. RefSeq lists it as uncharacterized. The transcript has 3 exons. The record is from RefSeq and is a predicted model, not a curated record. Lineage: Eukaryota; Metazoa; Chordata; Mammalia; Chiroptera; Vespertilionidae.
UGUAAAUUGAUUAGGGCUGGGUCUCAGGGAGUCGCCAGGGCGGAGCAAAUAGCAAUGGCGUCUCUGCUGCUCCUCGCCUCUCUGGGGCUCUGGGACUUGGCGUCCCCCAGUGCCGGCUGCGCGCCAGAGCCUCCCUCGCUUUCCGACCGCUGCAAGGCUGUGCCACCUCUCCCUGUGGGGCCUGGGGCCUCAGAGACCCGCCCCGAGCAAUCCGAUUGAAAAAAAACCUCGCAUCCAAUUGCAGCCCGCCUGGCAUGCGACUGUGUACCUCUGUUUUUGGUGCCUCUGUAGC